CGGAAGCAGAUGGAGGGUAGCGCUGAAGGUAUAGACGCUCCAGUUCCAGUUCCACUUCUCUCCUUCCCCCUCUCCUUGACUUUCUCCCGUGGGUGGUACAACCUGGCAGAUUACAAAACACCCCUCCCAUGUGCCUCACCACUCUCUGUGCCAGGAUGAAGCGACCGAUCUGAUGCUCCUGAAGAGUAUGAAAGUGUAAGUGGAGUGAGAGAGAGAGAAAGAGAGAGAGAGUGAGAGAGAGAGGCAAAAAGAAAGAAAAAGCUAGUGGAAAGCAGUACGACACAAUCUGCGCCACUGUCUGCUGAGAACAUCGGGUUCUCUACUACACCAGAGCUCACAACAUCCUAAAGGUGAGUGGGUGCUGUUAUCUGGGGAUACAGGCAGGAUAAGUGCAGUGGACAGAGCUGUAUGGUUGGGCGGGUCAGCUGGUGUUGUGAAUCAGGCCGCCGUAAUGAGUGGGCACGGCUUCUUCAUAACACCAGGGUCACACCCUACCACACUCAGCACCUGCCAAUGAGCACACACCUAUCCACACAUAUCCACACGUACGCACACACACACACACACACAGGCAAAAACACACUGACCCAAGCAGUACCAACUGAUAUCACAGGAAUAAUGGAAGGAAUCAGACUGUGUGAGGCUGCAUUAUAUGGACCAUAUAGACUUUUUUUUUAAUAUAUAUCAUGAACUAUAUAAUGGUUACAAAUAGUUCCAUGAAAAAUGAAAGGUGUUGCUGUGUAUUUUUGGAAGAUUUAAAUGCUUAUUCAAAACUAAAAGAAAAAUGAAACUCAUACAUUGUUAGCACAUACAUUUCUAUAUGUUUGUUGUAUAGAUGUUUUACAAUUUUGAAAUAAAAUUUUUUUAAAACCUUUUUCUUUUCAAAGCCCGAAAUUAUUUGCAUAAAACACCAAGCCAUGUUUAAUGAGUCCUGUUCUGUUGUCCUUACAUCUAUCUGCUUCUGCUGAUGUCUCAGUAUGCUGAAUUUAUUCAUUCACUUGUAGUACAGCCAAUGUUCUAUUGUAAAUAUGUGUACAUAACUUUUUAUAGACAGACUGAGUGAAGGUUUUCUUUGUUGGGUUUAUGGAGAAAUUGCUAUAAUUCCACUAACACUACAGUGCUACUGUUAAGCGGUUAUCAUUUUAAAGUUUACAAAAUUAAUAACAAACAUUAGUCGCUGCCAAACUUUUUUUUUUCUGACAUCUCAGCUUCUCGGUAUAAUUAAUGACCAAAACACAUUACAACAACCAAAUCACCACAAACACAUCUCAAAAUAAACGCUUUCCUCAAAACACGGCCAUAAUAUUUCUUCUAAUAAGUGCACUCAAUCAGAGCACAAUGUUUAAAAACCACUAACAAGUGUCAUUUCAGUAAGUGAUCUAAAUCAUAUAUAUUGAUAAAAAAAAUAGUUUAUUUUAAAUUACAAACAGCAUGAUACAUCUGGAUUGUAUAUGCCAUAUAAACAAGAAAAAAUCAUCACAAUUUAAGUGCAAGAAAUAAGCAAAAAUGUGUGUGUGCAUGUGCGUGUGUGUGUGUGUGUGUACAUAGAUAUAGACAUUGAUAUAUAUUAUGUAUCAUCACAAACCUAUUGUUAGACUGAUAUGCAUACUGACGCCUAGAGAAGGUUUGAUCGUCGCUUGCUUAAAAUACCACUUACAAACAGCUCAGUCUGUGUCACUAAUAACAGCAGCAGACUAUGGACCAAAGCUCUUUUUCAUAUUUAAUCAUAGAAGACGCUCUUUUAAUACUUCAGCACUUGACAGUACAUUUUUCAGAAGGCUAUUUGCACACAACGUAAGGGAAAAUAUGCCAAAUUUUCUGAGUUGCACUCUUGAAAUCCUGUGUGAAUUUUCUUAGAAUCAACACAAAAGGUACUAACUAGCAGCAAGCAUCUGUGAGGAGGAACCCAAUGUGCUCAGUGUUAUUUCAUGCAGUCAUUCUUCAGUGAUUGCUUUUUGGCAAUAAAUAAAUAAAUAAAUAAAUAAAAUAACUAGGAAAACUGGGCAUAAGAAUACAUUCUGGAUGGGAUGCCAGUCCAUCACAGGACACACACACACACACACACAAAUACUCACACAUUAGGGGGGGAUGGCAUACUCCCUCUCCCCCAAUCACAGUGACUCUAACCAAUCAUGGGCAUCUGUGAGCUCAUGCAUGUGAAAGGGGGCGGAUAGAGUUUUCCUUAGAGUGUGUUUUGUGCCCAUGACGCAGCAUAAGUAGCAGUUUGAAAAGAUGCAGUUGAAAAGAUGCAAAAGAUACACUCACUCACACACACAAACACAUUAGGGGGGGAUGGCACACUCCCUCUUCUCCUAUCAAUCACAGUGACUUUAACCAAUCAUGGGCGUCUGUGAGCUCAUGCAUGUGAAAGGGGGUGGAUAGUGUUUUCCUUUGAGUAUGUUUUGUCCCCAUGACAGCAGUUUGAAAAGAUGCAGUUGGCUGACUUCAUGUGACUCGGAGGAAGCAUGUGACAGCCUUUACCCUCACGGGUUGGUAGCUGGCAUAUGAUAAGGGAGACCUAACUGAUGAGUGGGAAUUGGCCGAGACCAGAUUAGAGAGAAAAACAGGGGAAAAACCCAAAAGAAAAAGAAACAAAAACACACACACAUGCACACACUUAUCACACCUAAGGGCAAUUAAGAGCCACAUAUUGGCAUAUUUUGAGAGGUGGGAUAACACUGGACACUGACAGAACAUGUGAAACCCUGCACAGACAGUAAGCUGAGUUUAUGAUUAAACCCCAGACUCUGGACCUUCCACUCCACCAUGCCACCCUCCUGCAUAAGUGAUAUAUAAAUAAAAUGUGUAUUUUAUAUAUUAUCCGAUGUUGCCCCCAAACAGAUGUGAC
Long non-coding RNA from Ictalurus punctatus (channel catfish), 2848 nucleotides. The record is from Ensembl. NCBI's taxonomy places the organism in Eukaryota, Metazoa, Chordata, Actinopteri, Siluriformes, Ictaluridae.